Molecule: non-coding RNA, 92 nt
Organism: Mycena leptocephala
Lineage: Eukaryota; Fungi; Basidiomycota; Agaricomycetes; Agaricales; Mycenaceae
Source: the annotation of a GenBank genome assembly
GCCUCUGUGGAUUAGUGGUAGAUCGCCUCAGAUUUAUAGGUACGUUGCCAAACAGUUAUGGGGAGCUGUGGGUUCGAAUCCCACCAGAGGUA